UACGGAGGGAGCUAGCGUUGUUCGGAAUUACUGGGCGUAAAGCGCACGUAGGCGGCUUUUUAAGUUAGAGGUGAAAGCCCGGGGCUCAACUCCGGAAUUGCCUUUAAGACUGCAUCGCUUGAAUCCAGGAGAGGUGAGUGGAAUUCCGAGUGUAGAGGUGAAAUUCGUAGAUAUUCGGAAGAACACCAGUGGCGAAGGCGGCUCACUGGACUGGUAUUGACGCUGAGGUGCGAAAGCGUGGGGAGCAAACAGG
RNAcentral lists this ribosomal RNA (253 nucleotides) under uncultured bacterium. RNAcentral's name for it is "partial 16S ribosomal RNA". It matches the Rfam family "Bacterial small subunit ribosomal RNA", at positions 524 to 776 of the family's 1533-position model. The record is from RNAcentral.